This 301-nucleotide ribosomal RNA is filed under the name uncultured bacterium. RNAcentral's name for it is "partial 16S ribosomal RNA". It matches the Rfam family "Bacterial small subunit ribosomal RNA", at positions 509 to 807 of the family's 1533-position model. The record is from RNAcentral.
CAGCAGCCGCGGUAAUACGUAGGUGGCAAGCGUUGUCCGGAAUUAUUGGGCGUAAAGGGCUCGCAGGCGGUUUCUUAAGUCUGAUGUGAAAGCCCCCGGCUCAACCGGGGAGGGUCAUUGGAAACUGGGAAACUUGAGUGCAGAAGAGGAGAGUGGAAUUCCACGCGUAGCGGUGAAAUGCGUAGAGAUGUGGAGGAACACCAGUGGCGAAGGCGACUCUCUGGUCUGUAACUGACGCUGAGGAGCGAAAGCGUGGGGAGCGAACAGGAUUAGAUACCCCGGUAGUCCCUGUCUCUUAUAC